UAACAUCAAGAAAUUAAGAUUUCCUCCAGACCAUGACCAUCAUCCUAAAGGUCGGUAGCAAUAACGUUCAACCGACGGUACAACCUGGUCAGCAACCGCAAUUAGUGCAAUAGAUCCAAGCCAAAUGUAGAAGACCAUUGACCAACUGCAAAAAAGAUAGCAACAGCACAUUCAAACACAGUAGCAGCAGCAUACUAUACUGUCCCAUGCGGUGUGCAGGAGGACUUUUUUAUUCAGUUGGUGCGGCAAGAUCGAACACCAACAACAUAAUAUCAUGGUAAUCACCCAGCAAGAGAACGCAGUGAUAAUGGGCCAACAGAAAACACAACAUCAAGAUGCUCGGAAAGGACUUUCUCUUUCGAACAAACAUAAUGGCACGUCAUGUUCAAUCGGCUAACCGUUUGGAAUAAGCGCUCAUCAUCGGUUUCAUGGCAGGGAAGUGAGCAGGCAAAAGAAGGCAUCGUUUUUUCCGCAAGGUCGCUCUGGUCAAAAUUUCAGCGAAUUGCAAGGAAUAAACCACCCGAAGGACAGUACCCGUGCUGAUUCAGGACGAUUUCCCAUACUUUGUACCUUGCUAUUGAAUUUUAAUACCCGAUCGAAACGAUGGCAAGCGCUGCCGUUAACUGGGUCAAAAAGACGACGGAUCAAGAAAUUUCU
Long non-coding RNA from Topomyia yanbarensis, 657 nucleotides. RefSeq lists it as uncharacterized. The transcript has 3 exons. The record is from RefSeq and is a predicted model, not a curated record. Lineage: Eukaryota; Metazoa; Arthropoda; Insecta; Diptera; Culicidae.